This is an RNA transcript of Panicum virgatum (switchgrass), 1745 nucleotides long. RefSeq lists it as uncharacterized. The transcript has 7 exons. Lineage: Eukaryota; Viridiplantae; Streptophyta; Magnoliopsida; Poales; Poaceae. The record is from RefSeq and is a predicted model, not a curated record.
CCCCUCCCCCACCCCCAACGAGCUCCGCCGCCGCCAUUUCCGCCACCGCUCCGCAACCAGUCACGCGCGCCCCUUCCCCCAAUGAUGCAGCUUCCCCGGCGGACGAGAAGGCAGGCGGCAGCGGAUCCCACCGGCACGCGCCAGCUUGAUGCGGAGAAGUGGGGGAGCGCGACUCGCACCCGCGCUCAGCUCGCACGGGAUUCGCCGACCGCGCGGCGCUCCUGUUCUCCUCCAGCAGCGCGGUCCUCACGCUCUCCACCGGCCGCGAGGAGCUCCGGCGAGAAGAACACCUCUACAUCGAGCGGGGUGCAGGGAAGGGACCAGCGUCACGCACUCGUGCUCGACGGUCACGGAACCCGAAGACCGCGGGGAUGGCUUCAGGCGAAGGCGGCGACCCUAGCGAACUGGUUCCAGAGAAGAUGAGCAAGGCCCCAAAGCCUCCGAAGGAUGCAAACUUCACUGAAAAUAUUCCUAAAAGCAGCGGUACAAGCACACGAGAGAAGAAAAAUAGGAGGAAGAGGGCUGCUGUCAAUCCCAACUUUGGCAAGAAACCCAAGGAGGUAAAGCUUGAUGAAGAGUCUAAGGUGGCCUACAACAAAUAUUUGACCCGAAAGCUAUGACUCAAAGAAGCGAGUGGGUCAGAUGAAAAAAAAAUGAUGAGCCACCAUUUGUUCAAAUUGCUGGCUACUACGUCUCAUAUGAUGAGUUCUAUGAGUCAUUCAAGCAAAGGGGCAAAAUUGACAACAAUGUGCUGUCUUUAUGGACCUACCAAUUCAAUCUUGAUGAAGCUGAAAUUCGUAAGGAAGAUGAUAGUGUUGUCAAAAAAUAUGUGUUUUCCUCCAUCACGGGGCAGCUUAUAGUUGAUCGUGCAACUUUCAAAAGUGAAACUUGCAAGAAGGAGCUUACAAGGUUGAACAAAACAUGGGACUUAUCAAAAAUGGAUUUGCUUUUUUCCCCAUUGUGCAAGAACAGCAUUGGGUUGUCACAUGCAUCAACAUAUUUUUGAAGCAAAUCAACUUCUUCAAUUCUAUAAAUGGCUCAACUAUUAUUCCAUGUUAUGAGGCUUCCAACAACCUGGUAAUUACCAGUUGCCCUUUUUUUCCCGUAUCCAUGAUUUAUUUUCUCCCCCCAAGAUUUUUCCAUGGUGCAACCAUCAUUUUUUGUCCCACUCAGGUUGCAAACUUUUCAAAGGCUGCACUGGAAUUGCAAAUUUUUAAAGAGGAUGUGUCCCAAUUUGUGCACAAAUAUCCUACAGAGUUCCCGCACCAACAUACAUUGAAUGAUUGUGGUGUCUAUUCUAUGUUGUACAUUGAAUCUUGGAAUGGAAAGAAGAUGGAUGUUGCAUGUGAAUCGAGUAUGAUUGGAGACUACCGGAAGUAUGCCAUGGGAGGAUUGCUGUUGUCCCCGAUGAAUGAAGUCAACACAUCAGAUUUUGUUGAAAAGCAUUUUGUCCAAGAUUAAUUGCCAAAUGAUAGUGUUAGCAAGUAGAUGUUUGGUAGUUAGUAGCACAUGGCUUUUGUAACUGCUCCGUGGACAGAUAGUAGCAUGUCUCAGUGAACUAUGUUAACAUGUUUUGGAUGUCAUGGGUUGUGAUAUGUUAACAUCAGCUUCAGCAUGUCAAACAUACUAUCUUUGUGAACCAUGUUGUAGUAGCUGCUCUAAGAUGUCGCAGAUAUUGUUUUCAGAUGUUACCAUACUUUUUAUGUUAGAGCAGUCCCAACUAUCUUUGUGUGGUCUCUUUUUUA